AUGUUCUCUGUAGCUCUGAUGCUGCUGCUGACAGCUGGAUCAUGUGUCCUCAGUAUUGAUCUUAUCCAGCCAGACUCCAAGGUUGUGCAGCCUGGACAGUCUUUAACCAUCGUCUGUCGGCCCUCCGGUUAUUCUGUGACUGAUAACAGCUAUGCAACAGGUUGGAUCAGACAACGUGAAGGAAAACCAAUGGAGUGGAUUUUCCAUCAGUGGGGUGGUGGGAGCUUUUACCAAAAUGAUGCCCUGAAGAACAAGUUCACCUACAGCAGAGACACUUCUGCUGGAACAGUAACAAUAACAGGACAGAAYCUGCAGCCUGARGAYGCAGCUGUUUAUUACUGUGUGAGAAGAGACACAGUGACACAAACCACAUGGAAGCCUGAACAAAAACCAGUCAACCAUCAGGAUAAUGUUACUGAAAGCCUGCUGUGCAUGCAUGUGAAUAGAGUCAAUUAG
Molecule: non-coding RNA, 456 nt
Organism: Poecilia reticulata (guppy)
Lineage: Eukaryota; Metazoa; Chordata; Actinopteri; Cyprinodontiformes; Poeciliidae
Source: the annotation of a RefSeq genome assembly